UAGCUAGUUGGUAGGGUAAAGGCCUACCAAGGCGACGAUCGGUAGCUGGUCUGAGAGGAUGGCCAGCCACACUGGAACUGAGACACGGUCCAGACUCCUACGGGAGGCAGCAGUGGGGAAUAUUGGACAAUGGGGGCAACCCUAAUCCGGCAAUGCCGCGUGUGUGAAGAAGGCCUGAGGGUUGUAAAGCACUUUCAGUGGGGAGGAGGUUAAUUUGGUUAAGAGCUGGAUUGAUGGACGUUACCCACAGAAGAAGCACCGGCUAACUCCGUGCCAGCAGCCGCGGUAAUACGGAGGGUGCGAGCGUUAAUCGGAAUUACUGGGCGUAAAGGGUGCGUAGGUGGUUAUUUAAGUUAUCUGUGAAAUCCCUGGGCUCAACCUGGGCAGGUCAGAUAAUACUGAGUGACUCGAGUAUAGGAGAGGGUAGUGGAAUUUCCGGUGUAGCGGUGAAAUGCGUAGAGAUCGGAAGGAACACCAGUGGCGAAGGCGGCUACCUGGCCUAAUACUGACACUGAGGCACGAAAGCGUGGGGAGCAAACAGGAUUAGAUACCCUGGUAGUCCACGCUGUAAACGAUGUCAACUAGCUGUUGGUUAUAUGAAUAUAAUUAGUGGCGC
Molecule: ribosomal RNA, 616 nt
Filed under: uncultured Legionella sp.
Lineage: Bacteria; Pseudomonadati; Pseudomonadota; Gammaproteobacteria; Legionellales; Legionellaceae
Description: bacterial SSU rRNA
Rfam family: Bacterial small subunit ribosomal RNA
Source: RNAcentral